CCUACGGGAGGCAGCAGUGGGGAAUAUUGGACAAUGGGCGAAAGCCUGAUCCAGCAAUGCCGCGUGAGUGAUGAAGGCCUUAGGGUUGUAAAGCUCUUUUACCAGGGAUGAUAAUGGCAGUACCUGGAGAAUAAGCUCCGGCUAACUCCGUGCCAGCAGCCGCGGUAAUACGGAGGGAGCUAGCGUUGUUCGGAAUUACUGGGCGUAAAGCGUACGUAGGCGGUUAUUCAAGUCAGAGGUGAAAGCCUGGAGCUCAACUCCAGAACUGCCUUUGAAACUAGAUAGCUAGAAUCACGGAGAGGUUAGUGGAAUUCCGAGUGUAGAGGUGAAAUUCGUAGAUAUUCGGAAGAACACCAGUGGCGAAGGCGACUAACUGGACGUGUAUUGACGCUGAGGUACGAAAGCGUGGGGAGCAAACAGGAUUAGAUACCCUGGUAGUCCACGCCGUAAACGAUGAUAACUAGCUGUUCGGUCUCUACGAGACUGAGUGGCGCNGCUACGACAUAAGUUAUCCGUCCGUCGGGUAGGUACGGUACGCGAGAAGUUAAACGUAACGUAAAGUAAGUAAGUUAGUUACGUCGUUAGAGAGCGACGACGACGACGACGGAGGAGGAG
RNAcentral lists this ribosomal RNA (615 nucleotides) under uncultured bacterium. Its description in RNAcentral is "bacterial SSU rRNA". The stretch from base 1 to 517 matches the Rfam family "Bacterial small subunit ribosomal RNA", at positions 338 to 873 of the family's 1533-position model. The record is from RNAcentral.